GCUGAAACUCGCCUACAUGAAGCUGGAGUUGCUGGUAAUCGCGAAUCAGCAUGUCGCGGUGAAUACGUUCCCGGGCCUUGUACACACCGCCCGUCACACCAUGAGAGUUGGCAAUACCCAACGUACGUGAUCUAACCCGCAAGGGAGGAAGCGUCCUAAGGUAGGGUCAGCGAUUGGGGUGAAGUCGUAACAAGGUAAC
Molecule: ribosomal RNA, 199 nt
Filed under: uncultured bacterium
Lineage: Bacteria
Description: partial 16S ribosomal RNA
Rfam family: Bacterial small subunit ribosomal RNA
Source: RNAcentral